This is a non-coding RNA of Dipodomys ordii (Ord's kangaroo rat), 54 nucleotides long. NCBI's taxonomy places the organism in Eukaryota, Metazoa, Chordata, Mammalia, Rodentia, Heteromyidae. The record is from Rfam.
AAAGUGUCCUACGCCACGGCCAUGGAUUGGUUCAUCGCCGUGUGCUUUGCGUUU